AACGAACGCUGGCGGCAUGCCUAACACAUGCAAGUCGAACGAGACCUCCGGGUCUAGUUGCGCACGGGUGCGUAACGAGUGGGAACCUGCCCUUAGGUUACGAAUACCUCCCCGAAGGGGGUGCUAAUGACGGAUCAUGUCUUCGGACCAACGAUAGAUCGCCGUUGGAUGGGCCCGAGUUGGAUUAGCUGGUUGGUAGGGUAAAAGCCUACCAAGGGCUGGUUCCAGAGCUGGUCUGAGAGGAAGAGCAGCCACACUGGGGCGAGGACACGGCCCAGACUCCUACGGAAGGCAGCAGAGGGGAAUACAGGAAAAGGGACGGAGGCCUGAUGCAGCAAGGCCGGGUAAGUGAUGAUGGCCGUAGGGAUGUAAAGCGCGUUUACCCGGGAUGAUAGUGACGGUACCGGGAGAAUAAGCACCGGCUAACUCCGUG
This 433-nucleotide ribosomal RNA is filed under the name uncultured bacterium. RNAcentral describes it as "partial 16S ribosomal RNA". It matches the Rfam family "Bacterial small subunit ribosomal RNA", at positions 29 to 507 of the family's 1533-position model. The record is from RNAcentral.